Molecule: long non-coding RNA, 4100 nt
Organism: Oreochromis aureus
Lineage: Eukaryota; Metazoa; Chordata; Actinopteri; Cichliformes; Cichlidae
Source: Ensembl
UUUCAACACUUUGGCAGGUCUGAAGGCAAAAGAGUCCAAACCAGGACUAGCAAGUGACCCUCCCCCUCCCCCCGCGCACCUGCACUGCAGCUCGCAAACUUUUGCAGGGCAUGUGACGUCAUUCAGUCCACAGUCGGAGUAGCCGUUUAAGUGGAGCUCUGAAGACUGCAAAGCUUUCUGCAGGUGAAGGAAGCCACGGCAGCAAGCCAAACACAGACGAUAAUGUGGCCCUCACAUGCAGCGAUGACGGCUGUUCUGAUAGUGGUGUUGUAGAUGAAAGUCCCACAGCAGCUACUCCGUGUCGCCCAGAGAAAUGAGAAAGGAGGAGGCAGUGAGAUGGAUGAAGGUGGAAGUUCUGAGCAUUUCUCCUAUCAAAAGAGACCGGAGCACACCAGUGAAGAGAGUGCAGAUGUAGAUGAAGAGAGCAAGGACGCAAGACUGGCUCUGAGGAAAAGAGGAAAAACCAAAGUGGCCAAAGCAAAGGUUUUGUCCUCUGUGGCAGAAUAUAUGCCAGACAAACACAACUCUUGAUAUUGAUCCAGAAUUAUUUCAUUGAGAAACCCUGUGUGAAGGUCAAGAGGCCGUGGAGUGGAGAAAACAACAGUACAAAGACGGUUAUCAGCUUUUCUGAUUUGUUAUUUUUAACCCAUACAAACAAAUCAAGUACUUAAUGAUCACUUUGUUGGUGUAAGUCAUGAAAAGUAGUUACACAUACCUCAACAUAUGCAGAUGUUUAAUAAUCCGAGUUCAUUGUAUUUACCAGUUCCCUAAGGAAAGUUUCCCAUUGAAUGUCCCCAUUUAGGUUAAAGUGAGUGUAUUUGUGUUAAAAACGUCCCCAAAAGUCAUAAGAAUAUGGCAUACUAAUGACUAUAGUUGGAUAUGUUUUGGGAUUAUUUUUCUAAAAAUAGUAUCAUGUUCCUUUUUCAGUAUAAAUCUAUCUAUGAAGUCUGUAAACAAUUUAUCAAUGAUCCCCACACUCAAGCAAGGGUUAUGUUAAAAAAAAAAACCUUCAUUAUGUCUAAGAUUUAAAAAUACGGAACAAAUACCAAUCAGAAUGAGGACUAAGAUAAAGAAAUCCAUCCGAAAAGUAGUUACACGUACCUUAACAUAUGCAGAUGUUUAAUAAUCCGAGUUCAUUGUAUUUACCAGUUCCCUAAGGAAAGUUUCCCAUUGAAUGUCUCCAUUUAGGUUAAAGCGGAGUGUAUUUGUGUUUAAAAACGUCCCCAAAAGUCAUAACUAUAUGGCAUACUAAUGACUAUAGUUGGAUAUGCUUUGUAUUUUUUAAAACAAAAUAGUAUCAUGUACCUUUUUUCUGUAUAAAUGUAUACAUGAAGUUCAAGAACAAUUUAUCAAUGAUCACCACACUGAAGAGUUAUGUUGUAAAACCCUUCAUUAUGUCUAAGAUUUGGAAAUAUGAAACAAAUACCAAUCAGAAUGAGGACUAAGAUAAAGCAAUCCAUCCCCCAAAUGAUUACACAUACUUUAACAUAAGCAAAUAUUUAAUAAUCCUAUUCAUUGUAUUUACCAGUUCCCUAAGGAAAGUUUCCCAUUGACUGUCCCCAUUUAGGUUAAAGCGGAGUGUAUUUGUGUUAGAAACGUCCCCAAAAGUCAUAAGAUUCAGCUGUACCAAUAACUAUAGUUGGAUAUGUUUUUGCAAUGUUUAAAUGGAGGUAUAUUUCUGUAUUUAGUGUUAAUCUACCUUUGAGAUCAGUUAAUAGUUAAUGGUCACUGAUCGUUAAUGAUCACUGUACUCUGGUACUAUACCAAUUCAAUUUCAUUUAUGUAUAUCCUUUUGAUUGUCCUCAUUCAGGUUAACGCAGUGCAUUUUUGUUAGAAAUGUCCCCAGAAGUUAUAAGAGUCAUCUUUUUUGGCAGUUUUCAAUUGUCUCUUGUCUAUUUGUUAUUCAUGUUAAAUCUACUCGUAACAUCAGUGAAAACUAAAAUUAAGAAAUCCAUUCUAAAAUCGUACAGCUUGUCUUAUCACUCACAGAUCUUUAAUACUGUACUUAUUGGUGCCCUCAGGUAAAGGAUAUUUUGAUUGGUUCUAAUGUAGGUUAAAGAAGUGUGUUUAUUAAUAAUUAAAUUAAAUCUUUUAUGAUAGGUUUGCUUCAAAGUUUGGAUAGUUUCUGCAAAUGAAAUGAACCCUUAGUAAUUGUGUACAAAUUAUCUGUGUUAACAAUUCAUAGUUGAAAUUAGAAAUUUCUUUUUUCAUUUAAAUAGAAUAUAAAAACUAGGUUAACUGUCUAAUGUUUGCCUAUUUAACUUAUGUUUAUCUACUCAGGGCUAACCAAGCUGAAGCAGCAUCAUGAGAAAUGCCUGAAACGUAAAAAAAAAAAAAAAUCUGCAAAAUCCGGAUUCCUCAAGGAAUGAGAUUGAGUGUCUUCUUUCAGGUAUGGAGGCAACAAAAACACAAUAGAAUAAGAAAACAGAUCAAGAUGAAGACAGGGACCAGGGACUUCUUCCCAGUGAACAUAUUUGGAAGCAAAGUUCUUGCCUUACAAUUUGCUGGUAACAAACACUCAAUAGUACAGAUGAUUUUUUUCCCCACGUUUCUCUGCAUUAAUGAUGUGCAUGUAUACUCCCAAAACAACACAGUAGUAAUAAAUGCAGUCAAAAAUUUAAAUUGUUCUAUGGCCGAGACAAUGGACAUAGUUUUGAUUUCUUCAAGAUAAAUAGAGACCUUAAUUAUUGUUUAGAUUAUUGUUAGAUUGGGUAUUUAACCUUACAUUGUACUUUGAAGGACUUACCUUUAAGGGAAGUAAUAUCCCCAAAACUGACAUAAAAUAACUUGUGUAUGUGUGUAUUGCUGAAGACCCCAAAGGGGAGUAAGUGUCAGGAUGCCUGGGUCGUUGACCCAUGGUUUUGAGUUUAGAAAUGAUAAAUAAUAGUCUUUGGUUUCUUUGUUAGAGUUCUGUCUUUUUGUUUUUUGUCUCUGUGUAAUCCUUAGUUGCUGUCUCCCCUGUCUGCUAUAUCCACUCAGUGUCUGUCUGCCCUGGUCCCAUGUCUCUCUGUUGUAGUGCCUGCCUGUGAGUCUGUCUGUAAGUUCAGUCUGUGUUAUGUUUCCUGUUUUACUUUGAAAGUCCGUGUCUUAUGUUAAUGUAUCUGGUUUUGCUUCCCCUGUUUCGUUAGGCCUGAUUUGCCCCAGCUGUGUUUCCCUCCUGUUACUCAUUCCCUGAUUGCUCCCUCUGUGUAUUUAAGCCCUGUGUUUCUUUGUGUCUGUGUCGCGAUCUACCCUCAUCUUGCUUUGUGUUCUGUCCGUUUGCCAGUGUAAGUUUAUUCUGUAUUCCUUGAUUUGUUACUUUUUGAGUUUAGCAUUAAAGCUGUAUUUGAGUUCACGUUUUGCCUCCGAGUGUCUGCACUUUGGGUCCUCCUACUACCAUCCCUGCCUGCACACAGCCUACACAUGACAGUAAGGUCCCCAAAACUGACAUAAAAUAACUUGUGUAUGUGUGUGUUGCUGAAGACCCCAAAUGGAAGUAAGGUCCCCAAAAGUGGCAUAAAAUAGUUUGUGUAUGUGUGUGUUGCUGAAGACCCCAAAUGGAAGUAAGGUCCCCAAAAGUGGCAUAAAAUAGUUUGUGUAUGUGUGUGUUGCUGAAGACCCCAAAUGGAAGUAAGGUCCCCAAAAGUGACAUAAAAUAGUUUGUGUAUGUGUGUGUUGCUGAAGACCCCAAAUGGAAGUAAGGUCCCCAAAAGUGACAUAAAAUGGUUUGUUUAUCUGUGUAUCGCUGAAGACCCCAAAGUGGACAUUAAACAUUCCCAGUCCCCAAUGGGAAGGUAAAAAUACUGUCUGGACAAAAGUUGCUUAAAAUGAAAAUCUCAAGUGAUUUUUUAUUUCUGUGGUCUUGGAGGAGUAAAACCCAGUUGCCAGCUUGCUUCUAAACCAUACAGAAAGUGGUGUCCCCAAAGGGUGGGAGUUAAGAUAUGCGACCCCAAACGGGACUUAAGCGGGUAUGUGUGUGUGUGUGUGUGUGUGACAGAGAGAGAGAGAGAGAGAGAGAAAGCCUUUUUAUGGGAUGAUCUCAUUGUAAGAUUCAAAUUCAAUAUAUUUAGACUGGUUGACUGAAUUGGAUCUUGUGUGUGUGUGUGUGUGUGUGUGUGUGU